This 86-nucleotide transfer RNA is filed under the name Clostridiales bacterium. RNAcentral describes it as "tRNA-Leu". It matches the Rfam family "tRNA". From Rfam's summary of the family: Transfer RNA (tRNA) molecules are approximately 80 nucleotides in length. RNAcentral also lists the same sequence under 1 other name. Lineage: Bacteria; Bacillati; Bacillota; Clostridia; Eubacteriales. The record is from RNAcentral.
GCGGAUGUGGCGGAAUGGCAGACGCGCUAGCUUCAGGUGCUAGUGAUCGCAAGGUCGUAAGGGUUCAAGUCCCUUCAUCCGCACCA